Molecule: long non-coding RNA, 1241 nt
Filed under: Olea europaea subsp. europaea
Lineage: Eukaryota; Viridiplantae; Streptophyta; Magnoliopsida; Lamiales; Oleaceae
Source: RNAcentral
GACGGGUUAAUCAACCUGUUAAAAGGACAUCCAGCAAAUCAGUUCCCACUUUCCAAAUCAAAAUGGUAAAACCUUUCGGCAAACAGUGUUCAUAUAUAGAAUCAUUUUGCUUCAAAAAACAACAGAACCACUCAAUUCUCCAUCUAUCCUAAAGAUGGUAGCAGGGGAUAUUACAGUUUACAUAACUAUUUAGGGCAUUUCAGAGAGCUCUAGUCCUGGAUAUACCACAGAUUAUGGCAUCAAUAUGUUCACAUAACAUCUUGCAUCAAAGGAAUAGUUUGAACAAAACAACACAAUCCUAUUAAUUAUCACAUUUCCGCCCUAUUCAACCUCCCAAAGUAGAGCUUCACGCCAACACGAACAAUUUAAGACACAUCAGAGGUAAUGGUAAAAAUAUUUAUUUCAUGCAAACCUUAUCAAAGAAAGGCCUACAAAACUGCAAAUGACAGACAUACACGAUACAUCUCCACAACUGCAUUGCUUCUAACGUGGGCCGACAACAUAGAACACCAACUUACCAUAAAUCAUCAAAAAUCCAAUUUGUCGGAUUUCAUUCAAGAAUACAACCAUUUUGCAGAAACAAUGAAAUUAUCCAUCAAAGUAUUCAAUAUUGUCGAGCAUUGAAAGUAUUUUGUGCACAUUAUUCAAAUAAACCUUAAAACUGAUCGCGCAUUGACAGGUCUCGGGAUUAAGAUAUUACGGAAUGUCCCACGGCUUGGGCUCAGGCACGGCUACCACCAUACCUUGAAGCUCAGGAGUGAGAACGACCUGGCAACCGAGCCUUGAGUGCUUAUUCAUGACCCUAGAACGAGAAUUCCUCUUCAAUACAUACUGCUCGUCAUAAGUGGGAGGGGACAACUUCUCAAGCCACUCCUGGGCGAUGUGGACCUCGCAUUCGGCCGAGCACGCGUCGAUCUCUUCAAGCCCGUGGGAAGCCGGGUCGAUUAAACCCUUAUUAGUCAAGGCCUUCAGGACGGUUUGGCCCGAUAGCCCCACUACCUGGCGCUUGAGGCCAUCCGGAUCCACUGCAAAGAGCUUGACAAGUCGAUCCGAGACCUUGGCUGAAGUAGCGGCCGUGGAGGAGGCGGAGGAUCGGCCAAUUACAGCGCGAGAGUAGAGGGCAAAAGAAGGAUUUUUGGUAAUUUGGGAGGCCAGGAAAUUGCCAUCGUUGUACGAGGAAAUUGCCUAAAUAAAAGGGUGCUUUGUAUGAUUAGACCAAAAAAUAUAAAUAUGUGAGAAAU